Long non-coding RNA from Sinocyclocheilus anshuiensis, 254 nucleotides. RefSeq lists it as uncharacterized. The record is from RefSeq and is a predicted model, not a curated record. The transcript has 2 exons. NCBI's taxonomy places the organism in Eukaryota, Metazoa, Chordata, Actinopteri, Cypriniformes, Cyprinidae.
GGUUUUGUGGCGGUUUUGAGGCAGUGAUGUCCCCCGCUCUUGAGCGGGAAUGGUUCGCGCGGCUCUCGCUAGCUCCUUCUGUUCCACGAGCGCGAGACGAGCAGCAGCGAUUCAUUCAACUCCAACUAAAGCGCUUAAAGAUGACUGCAGCAGAGUGUUUGGCGCAGGAGAGGAUCUGGUUCGAUAAGCCACAUUACGAUGAAGCGGAACGGCAAUUUUAUGAGCGGAUGAAUGGACCCACGCAGCCCAAACAA